This 253-nucleotide ribosomal RNA is filed under the name uncultured bacterium. RNAcentral describes it as "partial 16S ribosomal RNA". It matches the Rfam family "Bacterial small subunit ribosomal RNA", at positions 524 to 776 of the family's 1533-position model. The record is from RNAcentral.
UACGUAGGGGGCAAGCGUUGUCCGGAUUCAUUGGGCGUAAAGAGCGUGUAGGCGGCCAGGUAGGUCGGUUGUGAAAACUGGAGGCUCAACCUUCAGAGGUCGACCGAAACCAUCUGGCUAGAGUCCGGGAGAGGAGAGUGGAAUUCCUGGUGUAGCGGUGAAAUGCGCAGAUAUCAGGAGGAACACCGGUGGCGAAGGCGGUUCUCUGGGCCUGUACUGACGCUGAGGAACGAAAGCGUGGGGAGCGAACAGG